Molecule: unclassified non-coding RNA, 262 nt
Filed under: plant metagenome
Description: partial contains small subunit ribosomal RNA and internal transcribed spacer 1
Rfam family: Eukaryotic small subunit ribosomal RNA (bases 1-46)
Source: RNAcentral
AAGUCGUAACAAGGUUUCCGUAGGUGAACCUGCGGAAGGAUCAUCCAAAUAAAGCUGGUAGGAAGUGGGGUCUUGAUCUGUAAGUGGUUGAGCGAACAGUCCGGCUGCCUCCGAAAUGUCUACAUGUCCCCCCACAGCCUGAAAGGCCCGAAUUACCAAACCCCUUGAUUAUCUACACUUGUUGCUUUGGGGUGCUCAAGUGCCCCAGAGGACCCAACUCUCUUGCAUUUAGUGACGUCUGAGUACUAUAUAAUAUUUAAAA